Molecule: ribosomal RNA, 274 nt
Filed under: uncultured bacterium
Lineage: Bacteria
Description: partial 16S ribosomal RNA
Rfam family: Bacterial small subunit ribosomal RNA
Source: RNAcentral
AUACGGAGGGUGCAAACGUUGUUCGGAAUCACUGGGCGUAAAGGGCGCGCAGGCGGUUUGAUUAGUCAGAUGUGAAAGCCCACGGCUUAACCGUGGAAGUGCAUUUGAAACGGUCAGACUUGAGUAAUAGAGGGGAAAGUGGAAUUCCCGGUGUAGAGGUGAAAUUCGUAGACAUCGGGAGGAAUACCGGUGGCGAAGGCGACUUUCUGGCUAGAUACUGACGCUGAGGUGCGAAAGCGUGGGGAGCAAACAGGAUUAGAAACCCCGGUAGUCC